Orcinus orca (killer whale) is the source of this 1567-nucleotide RNA transcript. It is a transcript of the gene named apolipoprotein O like, with no coding region annotated. The transcript has 11 exons. NCBI's taxonomy places the organism in Eukaryota, Metazoa, Chordata, Mammalia, Artiodactyla, Delphinidae. The record is from RefSeq and is a predicted model, not a curated record.
GACCUGGGCGGAGAGCGCUACAGCUAUGGCGGCCGUUAGGUGGUAUAAACAGUAUCCAGUUCUUCCUUCUGCUGUUUUCAGGUUAGCAUAUAUGCCCUGAAUGGAUGGAUAUAGAGUUAAAACUGAUGGGAAAGCUGACAACCAUGCCAGCAGCUCUAAUAUGUGCAUCUAUAAGUGUGCAUGCGGCCAAAGAAGAGGAGUCCAGAAAGCAUCUAGUGAAACCAGAGCAGCUCCCCAUAUAUACUGCACCACCUCUCCAGUCUAAAUAUGUUGAUGAGCAGCCUGGUCAUUUACAAAUGGGCUUUGCGUCCAUUCGCACUACAACUGGUCGUUAUAUUGGCUGGUGCAAGGGUGUUUAUGUCUUCAUGAAAUAUGGGAUAAUGGAUACAGUACAAUUUGGAAAAGAUGCAUAUGUCUAUUUGAAGAAUCCACCUCGAGAUUUUCUUCCGAAAAUUGGAGUGAUUACAGUUUCAGGAUUGGCAGGCUUCAUUUCAGCGAGAAAAGGUUCUAGGUUUAAGAGAAUUGCUUAUCCACUGGGACUGGCCACUUUAGGAGCAACUGUUUGCUACCCUGUUCAAUCAGUAAUAAUUGCAAAGGUAACUGGGAAAAAGGCAUAUGCUACAAGCCAGCAGAUUUAUGAAGCAGUUAAAUCAUUGUGGACAAAAAACAACAAAAAAGAGUCACUUCCUGAACCUAAAGAAAAAACUAAGGUAGAGUUUAAAUGGACCAAAAAGCUAGGAAGCUCUGAUGAAAUAGAAAUACCUGCAAAAACAACUCACAACCUGAAACAUUCAGUGCCUUUGUCAACAGAACUCAGCUCUGAAACAAAGACCAAAUCAGAAUCCACCUCAGUUUCAUCAUAAAACUGGAAAUUAAUUUCCUCUAUGGAAAAAAGGUGUGUCUUCCAAAUGUAAAAAAGAAAUCGUUUCAAAAUGAAUCAGAGUUUGAAAAACAUUUAAAAUAAAAACAAGUUUGUGAAAAACAUAUUUUUAGUCUUAUGUCACAAAGUGCUACACAGUUUAUGGCUGACCCCAAGCUCAUGGAUCACGGGCAGUCCCAUCCAGAAGAUGUAGAUAUGUACAGCACUAGAAGCUGAAAUAGUCUGCAUAGAGAACUACAAGAUGUGUGAAGUUGCGAAUAACAGUGAAAAAAAUCAUGUAAUGGGUAACUGUGAUGCAUGGAGUAUAAUUUAAACCAAGUUUUUCCCUUACAUCUUCUAAUGUACAGUUAGACAAAUCACAUAAGUGAUUAAAACUCAAAUUGAAUACAAUCCGAACAAUACUAAAUGAUCGAUGAGGAGGCAGAGGUAAAAGUAUUAGGAUGCAUUUGGUGAUUUUUAAGGGUAUUUAUAAAAAAAUAAAAGUAAAUAUAUGAACACUGAUGAGACUAAAAUCUGAAAAAAAUAUGUAUGUGUGUAUAUAAUUAUGUAUAUAUAUGCACAUAUAUAUUUGUUUAACUUUUAUGAAUUAAUGUCAGCCAAAUUAGAAUUGUGUGUGGAAGGAUGUGUUCCCUCCCCCUCUGUUUUUCAUUUCCCAGAGCUGGAAUAAAAUAUCCAUAUUUUAUGACA